Molecule: unclassified non-coding RNA, 252 nt
Filed under: Hevea brasiliensis (rubber tree)
Lineage: Eukaryota; Viridiplantae; Streptophyta; Magnoliopsida; Malpighiales; Euphorbiaceae
Source: RNAcentral
CAGAAGGAACAAUCAACUUUGUAAUGAAUAAGCCACCAUGGAUGGUGGAAACCGAACCAAAAGAACUCGGCUUAGGAAUAUAUGUGUGAGAAUUCUCGAAAAGCUUUCCAAGUUCAAGUUUUUUCUACACAGUCGCUGCAGUACACCUCUAAUAUUCUAAGGUGGCAAAAAUGACAGAUUCAUCAAAGACUCUGAGAGCUUCCCAUUUAGAACUACAGAAAAUUGGGAGAUCGUUCUUUGAGGACAAAGAGG